GCCAGGGUGGCAGAGGGGCUAUGCGGCGGACUGCAGAUCCGCUUUACCCCGGUUCGAAUCCGGGCCCUGGCU
Geoglobus ahangari is the source of this 72-nucleotide transfer RNA. It matches the Rfam family "tRNA". From Rfam's summary of the family: Transfer RNA (tRNA) molecules are approximately 80 nucleotides in length. NCBI's taxonomy places the organism in Archaea, Methanobacteriati, Methanobacteriota, Archaeoglobi, Archaeoglobales, Archaeoglobaceae. The record is from Rfam.